CAAUAGCGUAUAUUAAAGCUGUUGCGGUUAAAAAGCUCGUAGUUGGAUUUCUGUCAAGGACAACUGGUCCGCCCUCCGGGUGAGCACAUAGUUUGGUCUUGGCAUCUUGCUGGAAACUGUUGCUGCGCUUGGUUGUGUGGUGCAGCUUUCAGCACUUUCACUUUGAGGAAAUUGGAGUGUUUCAAGCAGGCACAUGCCUUUGGACACAGUAGCAUGGAAUAAUUAGAUUGGGCUUUUGCUCCAACUUGUUGGUUCCUGGAGCUGAGGUGAGAAUCAAUGGGGAUUGUUGGGGGCAUCCGAAUUUAGCCGGCAGAGGUGAAAUUCUUGGAUCUGCUAAAGACGGACAACUGCGAAAGCGUUUGCCCAGGAUGUUUUCAUUGA
This 381-nucleotide ribosomal RNA is filed under the name uncultured eukaryote. RNAcentral describes it as "partial 18S ribosomal RNA". It matches the Rfam family "Eukaryotic small subunit ribosomal RNA", at positions 592 to 976 of the family's 1831-position model. The record is from RNAcentral.